This 302-nucleotide long non-coding RNA is filed under the name Nicotiana tabacum (common tobacco). RNAcentral's name for it is "long non-coding RNA (NTAB_LNC012769)". The record is from RNAcentral. Lineage: Eukaryota; Viridiplantae; Streptophyta; Magnoliopsida; Solanales; Solanaceae.
CCGAAUUAAGUAUCUUAAGCAACAUAACAAACAAAACUUCUGAGCCACCUUGGAAAACCAAGGCACCUCAAAAGAAAAUGCAGACAGACUCAACAAAGUUUUUCUCGCCACCGCCUGUCAAGCACCCAACUCUGGGAGCGGAUACCAGUCAUACAAGGCAGAAAUCUAGAACCUAAGAACCACAUUAAAGACCGAACAAAAACAUCACAAGCAGAGAAAACAAUGUCUCCAUAACACACUUUAUUGUAGUAGAUAUCGCGAGUACCACCAGAAUUGAACUGCAACGUUCAUUUCUUCUUCUG